Molecule: ribosomal RNA, 264 nt
Filed under: uncultured archaeon
Lineage: Archaea
Description: partial 16S ribosomal RNA
Rfam family: Archaeal small subunit ribosomal RNA
Source: RNAcentral
AGUCACUGACAUUAGAUACCCGGGUAGUCCAGGGUGUAAACGCUGCAGACUUGGUGUUGGAAGUCCUUUGGGGGCAUUCAGUGCCGGAGAGAAGUUGUUAAGUCUGCUACUUGGGAGUACGUCCGCAAGGAUGAAACUUAAAGGAAUUGGCGGGGGAGCACCGCAACGGGAGGAGCGUGCGGUUUAAUUGGAUUCAACACCGUAAGACUCACCAGGGAAGACUGUUACAUGAAAGCCGAGAUGAAGACUCUGCUAGAUUUUCAG